UGCGCAAGAGGUCCUCCUCUUGUGCAGCUUUCUAUGUAUGCUCCUCCUAUGUAUGCGUACAUAGUCAUACAUUUGACUGUAAAUGAGCACCACUUAAACACUCGGCCUGUUCCUCCAACAUGCAGAACUCCACUACAGAUCCAGGGUCUGCAGUCACGUGUGUUUGUCCAUCAGUGUUCUUCUAUCUCUCUGCUGUCUGGAAGAUGAUGACUUCUGUUUUCUCCUCUGAGGAAAUGGAUCGUCAGUCUCUGGAUGUUCCUCUCUCUGUAGAGGAGACCCGACCAGAACCGGCCCAGAGUUCAGUGCAGCCAUGCAGUGAUGGAGAAAGUUACUUUUAAAAAUGUUAAGGCCAGAAGUGAAAUGAAUAAUCCUCAGGCUGAAGGAAAUAUAAUUUCACAGCUGUACAGUAGAGGGCGCUGCUCAAACAAACCUUUCAUCUGCUGCUGAAGAAAGAUCUAAACUCUUAUUUUAGCAAUAAAAAUAAUAAUAAUAAAAAAAGAAACACAAAUAUGA
This is a long non-coding RNA of Ctenopharyngodon idella (grass carp), 513 nucleotides long. RefSeq lists it as uncharacterized. The record is from RefSeq and is a predicted model, not a curated record. Lineage: Eukaryota; Metazoa; Chordata; Actinopteri; Cypriniformes; Xenocyprididae. The transcript is spliced from 4 exons.